RNAcentral lists this unclassified non-coding RNA (288 nucleotides) under Sordariomycetes sp. RNAcentral's name for it is "partial contains 5.8S ribosomal RNA, internal transcribed spacer 2, and large subunit ribosomal RNA". The stretch from base 1 to 71 matches the Rfam family "5.8S ribosomal RNA", at positions 84 to 154 of the family's 154-position model. The record is from RNAcentral. Lineage: Eukaryota; Fungi; Ascomycota; Sordariomycetes.
GUGAAUCAUCGAAUCUUUGAACGCACAUUGCGCCCGCCAGCAUUCUGGCGGGCAUGCCUGUCCGAGCGUCAUUUCAACCCUCAAGCACUGCUUGGUGUUGGGGCGCUACGCGCUGAGCGUAGGCCCCGAAAAUCAGUGGCGGAACCGCAGUGGCUCCGGGCGUAGUAGCAACACCUCGCCCUGGACGCACGGCGCGCUCCGGCCGUUAAACCCCCCAACUAUACAGAAGGUUGACCUCGGAUCAGGUAGGAAUACCCGCUGAACUUAAGCAUAUCAAUAAGCGGAGGA